RNAcentral lists this small nucleolar RNA (76 nucleotides) under Nicotiana sylvestris (wood tobacco). Its description in RNAcentral is "Small nucleolar RNA R66". It matches the Rfam family "Small nucleolar RNA R66". From Rfam's summary of the family: snoR66 is a C/D box small nucleolar RNA, which acts as a methylation guide for 18S ribosomal RNA in plants. snoR66 has been alternatively named snoZ269 in rice. RNAcentral also lists the same sequence under 1 other name. The record is from Rfam by way of RNAcentral. Lineage: Eukaryota; Viridiplantae; Streptophyta; Magnoliopsida; Solanales; Solanaceae.
UCCACUGAUGGCAUGAAAUCCUUGAGACCCGAAUUCUCUAUUUUGAUGACAAUUACAAACAUUCUUAUACGAUGAC